CUGCCCUCAAGCACGGCUUGUGUGUUGGGUGUGGUCCCCCCGGGGACCUGCCCGAAAGGCAGCGGCGGCACCGCGUCCGGUCCUCGAGCGUAUGGGGCUUUGUCACUCGCUCGGGAAGGACCUGCGGGGGUUGGUCACCACCAUAUUUUACCAC
This 154-nucleotide unclassified non-coding RNA is filed under the name uncultured Talaromyces. RNAcentral describes it as "sequence contains ITS2". Lineage: Eukaryota; Fungi; Ascomycota; Eurotiomycetes; Eurotiales; Trichocomaceae. The record is from RNAcentral.